GACAGAGGGUGCAAGCGUUGUUCGGAAUCAUUGGGCGUAAAGCGCACGUAGGCGGUUUGGUAAGUCAGAUGUGAAAGCCCAGGGCUCAACCCUGGAAGUGCAUCUGAUACUGCCUGACUUGAGUCUCGGAGAGGGUGGUGGAAUUCCUGGUGUAGAGGUGAAAUUCGUAGAUAUCAGGAGGAACACCGGUGGCGAAGGCGACCACCUGGACGAAGACUGACGCUGAGGUGCGAAAGCGUGGGGAGCAAACAGG
This 253-nucleotide ribosomal RNA is filed under the name uncultured bacterium. Its description in RNAcentral is "partial 16S ribosomal RNA". It matches the Rfam family "Bacterial small subunit ribosomal RNA", at positions 524 to 776 of the family's 1533-position model. The record is from RNAcentral.